Molecule: ribosomal RNA, 2793 nt
Filed under: Kodamaea ohmeri
Lineage: Eukaryota; Fungi; Ascomycota; Pichiomycetes; Serinales; Debaryomycetaceae
Description: bacterial LSU rRNA
Rfam family: Bacterial large subunit ribosomal RNA (bases 265-2680)
Source: RNAcentral
UAUUCAUUCUCAUAGUUAUUAUAAUAAUAAUAUUCGCCGGCUACGCCGGCAUGUCGCCUUUGGCGACGAUAAUUAUAUGUCAACAUAUCCUCCUUUUAAUAACUCAUAAUGUUAUUAGCCGGCUACGCCGGCAUGUCCGCGUAGCGGACGAUUAGUUUGUGAAAGGGAAUAGUCAGCUACUCUGGUUAAUAUAAAUAAUUAAAUAAAAUGAGUGAAAUAAGGUAGUGAAGGUAAAUAAAUAAAGAGGUAAGAUAUUGAAAAAAGGUAUAUGAAAUAAAUAUUAUUUUAUGGAUAUAAAUGCUAAUAUUUAUAGGAAGUGAAAAAUAAGUUAAUAAAAUUAACUAAUCAUAUCAUGAAAAUGAGAAGAAAGAACCAAAUGGAAUGAAACAUCUGAGUAAUUUGGAAGAAAUCAACAGAGAUUAUUUAAGUAACGGUGAGUGAAAGAAUAAUAGUUUUAAAGUAUCAUCAAGAGGUGAGAAAAAAGUAGUAUCUACUACUAAAACUAAAAAUAAAUAUUAAGUAAAAGUACCGUGAGGGAAAUAUUGAAAUAGAAUAAUAAAGAGCAGUUAUAGUAUAGCGUACCUCUUGUAUAAUGGGCCAGUGAGUUAUUUAUUUAAGUGAGAAUUAAUUCAUAAUUAAUAUAAUCGCCCACUAGGGCAUGUCAUAAUUUAAGUAAAUAGGCCCGAAAGCAAACGAUCCACAUAUGUCCAAGUGUAUAAGAGUGUUUCACUUUUGUAUGACUGAAUAGGUAGAUGUAGCAAUAUCUUCUAAAGAGAUGUAUGUAGUAGUGACAGACAAAUCUGGUUUGCCGAUAGCUGGUUUUCUGCGAAAUAUAUUUUAGUAUAGCCUCUACUCAUUUAUUAACUGGUACAGCACUUAUUCUAUAAAUCUAUUUGUCGGUUUACCGACUUAUAGAUCUUUUGGGGAAUUUUACAAUUUUAUCAAAAAGAAUUAACCUCGGAAACAGUAAAUCAUUAAGUAGGGAGUCAGACUUAUUGCGAUAAGGUAGUAGGUCGAGAAGGAAACAACCUAGACUAUUAAAUGUAUGUCCCAAAUAUUAUGUAAGUGAACAUAAUCUUAAUUAAAUUAUAAGACCAUCAGUCAGCGGGUUUGACAAUAAUCAUCUGUUAAUGGACAUGUAACAAUGCACUGAUUCAAUAAAGUAAUUAUUACUUUAUUCAUUUAUUUUUAUAAAUGAAAUAAUUAAUUAAGAAAAAAUAUACGGGUCUAACAUAAUAACAGAAUUAUAGAGUAAUAAUAUAUUAUUACUGGUAGCAGAAUAUAUGAUGAAAUUAUUCAUAAUAUGAAUGAAUCAUAAAGAAUAUGCUGGCUUGAGUAACGAAAGGUAGUAUAAGACUAUCCUCCUAAUCAUAAGGUUUUACUAUAAACGAACGGUCCCUAAGAUAUUUAUAGAAAUAUAAAGUUGAUGGGUGAAAGAACAGGAAAAUAAAAAUGAACCGUACUGUAAACCGACACAGGUAUGAAUAAUCACAUAAGUGAUAUAUUAGCUAUUGCUAAUAAGGAGAAUGAGUAAAUUAGUCUUAAUGAACUCGGCAAAAUAGUAAAACAACUUUAAAUCGUGCGACUGUUUACCAAAAACAUAGCUUACUGCAUAUUAGUAAUAAUAAGUAUAGUAAGUGAUAUCUGCCCGGUGUAAGUUUAUAUAAAAUAAUUAUAUGAAAGUAUAAUAACAAAAAGCUUAUAAACGGCGGUCUUAUUAUGAGGAUCCGAAGGUAGCGAAAUUCAUUGGCGCAUAAUUGGUGUCCCGCAUGAAUGAAUACACGAUGCGAUAACUGUAUCAAGACUAAGCUCAGUGAAAUAGCAAUCGCGGUGAAGAUGCCGUGUACCCGUAGAUUGACAAAAAGACCCUAUGCAGCUUUACUAUAUCUUUUUAUUGACUUCUUUUUUUAUAUUUUUCAGUAUAUUAGGUUUAUUUUACUUAUUAAUACUUUUUAAGUCCCUUAAUAUAUUUUAAAUACAAAUGAGAUACCUAUAUUUAUAAUUAAAGAAUCUUAUCAAUUUAGUUAAUUCACAUUGUGUUUUAACAUUAUAAUGAGACAGUUUAAAGAAGUUAGUUUCGAUGGGGCGUCGACAUCAGCGAAAGCAUCUGAUGUGUCUAAAUAUAAUUAUUAUAUCAAUCACCCAUUAUUGGGUUUAUAAUAGAAAAUUACGUACAAUAGAACUAUAUGGCAAAUAGUUAUAUUUUUAUAAUGCAAGGAUAACAACAUAAUUGUGCGAUGAUAAUAACACUAACAAGUGGAAUUAGUACUUAAGUAAAGUGUAAUGAACAGGCAUAUUCUAAAGAUAAGGAUGUCGAUAACGGAUUAAAGUUACGCUAGGGAUAACAGGGUAAUACCGCUAGAGAGUUGAUAUCGUCAGCGGUGUUUGCCACCUCGAUGUCGUCUAGACUCGUCCUCCUGGUAGCAGCAACUAGGUAGGGUAGGACUGUUCGUCCUCUAAGGAGUUACUUGAGAUGGGUUAAUUACGACGUGAGUCAGUAAUGAUUUUAUCAUCUAUGGGAAUUUAUUUAUUUAUUGCCUUGGGUGUACGAAAGGAUAGCAAGGUGCUUUUCAAUGGUUAUAUGACUUUAUAUAUCAUAUAAGCUAAAAAAGUUGAGAUUACAUAUUGAAUGCAUAUUAAAUAUUAAAUCCUAUAAAUUAAAUAAAAACAUUUUAUACUAAUAUGUUAUAGUAUAUUCUACAUAUGUUGGAAUUUUACUAAUUAGUUCACUUAUUUAUCACCUUAUUUGGUGAUUAUUUAAGUUUUAUUCAUAUACCAUGCAAUAUCUUAUUC